RNAcentral lists this ribosomal RNA (443 nucleotides) under uncultured bacterium. RNAcentral's name for it is "bacterial SSU rRNA". It matches the Rfam family "Bacterial small subunit ribosomal RNA", at positions 331 to 792 of the family's 1533-position model. The record is from RNAcentral.
CCAGACUCCUACGGGAGGCAGCAGUGGGGAAUAUUGCACAAUGGGGGAAACCCUGAUGCAGCGACGCCGCGUGAGUGAAGAAGUAUUUCGGUAUGUAAAGCUCUAUCAGCAGGGAAGAAAAUGACGGUACCUGAUUAAGAAGCCCCGGCUAACUACGUGCCAGCAGCCGCGGUAAUACGUAGGGGGCAAGCGUUAUCCGGAUUUACUGGGUGUAAAGGGAGCGUAGACGGCAGCGCAAGUCUGAAGUGAAAUGCCGGGCUUAACCCCGGAACUGCUUUGGAAACUGUGCAGCUAGAGUGCAGGAGAGGUAAGUGGAAUUCCUAGUGUAGCGGUGAAAUGCGUAGAUAUUAGGAGGAACACCAGUGGCGAAGGCGGCUUACUGGACUGUAACUGACGUUGAGGCUCGAAAGCGUGGGGAGCAAACAGGAUUAGAUACCCGGGUA